CCUACGGGAGGCAGCAGUGGGGAAUUUUGGACAAUGGGCGAAAGCCUGAUCCAGCAAUGCCGCGUGCAGGAUGAAGGCCUUCGGGUUGUAAACUGCUUUUGUACGGAACGAAAAGACUCUGGUUAAUACCUGGGGUUCAUGACGGUACCGUAAGAAUAAGCACCGGCUAACUACGUGCCAGCAGCCGCGGUAAUACGUAGGGUGCAAGCGUUAAUCGGAAUUACUGGGCGUAAAGCGUGCGCAGGCGGUGAUGUAAGACAGAUGUGAAAUCCCCGGGCUCAACCUGGGAACUGCAUUAGUGACUGCAUCGCUGGAGUGCGGCAGAGGGGGAUGGAAUUCCGCGUGUAGCAGUGAAAUGCGUAGAUAUGCGGAGGAACACCGAUGGCGAAGGCAAUCCCCUGGGCCUGCACUGACGCUCAUGCACGAAAGCGUGGGGAGCAAACAGGAUUAGAUACCCUGGUAGUCCACACGGUAAACGAUGAAUGCUAGGUGUAGGAGGUAUCGACCCCUUCUGUGCCGCAGUUAACACAAUAAGCAUUCCGCCUGGGGAGUACGGUCGCAAGAUUAAAACUCAAAUGAAUUGACG
This 586-nucleotide ribosomal RNA is filed under the name uncultured bacterium. Its description in RNAcentral is "bacterial SSU rRNA". It matches the Rfam family "Bacterial small subunit ribosomal RNA", at positions 338 to 915 of the family's 1533-position model. The record is from RNAcentral.